AAUAAAUUGCCUGAUUAAAGGAUUACUUUGAUAGAGUAAAAUAAAUAAUUGAAAAAUUAUAUUUAUUA
RNAcentral lists this transfer RNA (68 nucleotides) under Thienemanniella xena. Its description in RNAcentral is "tRNA-Ile". The record is from RNAcentral. Lineage: Eukaryota; Metazoa; Arthropoda; Insecta; Diptera; Chironomidae.